Myripristis murdjan (pinecone soldierfish) is the source of this 390-nucleotide long non-coding RNA. RefSeq lists it as uncharacterized. The record is from RefSeq and is a predicted model, not a curated record. Lineage: Eukaryota; Metazoa; Chordata; Actinopteri; Holocentriformes; Holocentridae. The transcript has 5 exons.
GACUCAUGCACCUCAUGUACAUAUCCAGUGUGUCUUUCAGGGCAGGGACUGGCAACUUCGCUCUUCUAAGGCUGACCUCUGAACUGAAGGUUAAUCACCUCACCUGACUCAUCCUGUCAAAGUGACAGAAUAUUUCAUCAAAGCUAAGUCAUUCUCUAGAGGGGUCUCGGUCCAGGACUGGCAUGAUGGAGGUGUAGAGGGGCAAUCAGGAAGAAAAACAGUCCCACCCGUGUAGAGGUUCAAGAAGUUCAGUCCCCAGCAUGAUAAGAGCACAACUCCUUCGCUGGCUCAGGAGAGAUGCUGAGGGUACCUAGCCCUCCUGGCAACAAGGCUCCUCCCAUAAGCCCUGCUAUUCGCCAAGAAGUUUAUUUGACAUUUCAUAUUUUCACC